CCUACGGGAGGCUGCAGUCGAGAAUCAUUCACAAUGGGGGAAACCCUGAUGGUGCGACGCCGCGUGGGGGAAUGAAGGUCUUCGGAUUGUAAACCCCUGUCAUGUGGGAGCAAAGUAAAAUGAUAGUACCACAAGAGGAAGAGACGGCUAACUCUGUACCAGCAGCCGCGGUAAUGCAGAGGGCUCAAGCGUUGUCCGGAAUCACUGGGCGUAAAGGGUGCGUAGGCUGGUUGGUAAGUCAGGUGUGAAAGGCGGGGGCUCAACCCGCGGACGGCACAUGAUACUGGGAGCCUAGAGUAAAGGAGAGGGAGCCGGAAUUCUUGGUGUAGCAGUGAAAUGCGUAGAUAUCGAGAGGAACACUGAUGGCGAAGGCGGGUUGCUGGACAGUAACUGACGCUGAGGCACGAAGGUCAGGGGAGCGAAAGGGAUUAGAUACCCGAGUAGUC
Molecule: ribosomal RNA, 446 nt
Filed under: uncultured bacterium
Lineage: Bacteria
Description: partial 16S ribosomal RNA
Rfam family: Bacterial small subunit ribosomal RNA
Source: RNAcentral